GCCUGCUUGGCCAAGCGGUAAGGCACCUGUCUUGUAAACAGGAGAUCGCCGGUUCGAUCCCGGUAGUAGGCA
RNAcentral lists this transfer RNA (72 nucleotides) under Coemansia erecta. Its description in RNAcentral is "tRNA-Thr". It matches the Rfam family "tRNA". Rfam says of the family: Transfer RNA (tRNA) molecules are approximately 80 nucleotides in length. RNAcentral also lists the same sequence under 40 other names. The record is from RNAcentral. Lineage: Eukaryota; Fungi; Kickxellomycota; Kickxellomycetes; Kickxellales; Kickxellaceae.